Molecule: small nuclear RNA, 103 nt
Organism: Nycticebus coucang (slow loris)
Lineage: Eukaryota; Metazoa; Chordata; Mammalia; Primates; Lorisidae
Source: RefSeq, a predicted model, not a curated record
UCACUUCAGCAGUAGAUACGUUAAAAUUGGAAUGAUACAGAGAAGAUCAGCACGGCCUCUGUGCAAAAAUAACACACAAAUUUGUGAGGUGUUCCUUAGAAAU